GUCCAGGGGGCCGCCUUCGCCACCGGUAUUCCUCCAGAUCUCUACGCAUUUCACCGCUACACCUGGAAUUCUACCCCCCUCUACAAGACUCAAGCCUGCCAGUUUCAAAUGCAGUUCCCAGGUUGAGCCCGGGGAUUUCACAUCUGACUUAACAGACCGCCUGCGUGCGCUUUACGCCCAGUAAUUCCGAUUAACGCUUGCACCCUCCGUAUUACCGCGGCUGCUGGCACGGAGUUAGCCGGUGCUUCUUCUGCGAGUAACGUCAAUCACUAAGGUUAUUAACCUUAACGCCUUCCUCCUCGCUGAAAGUACUUUACAACCCGAAGGCCUUCUUCAUACACGCGGCAUGGCUGCAUCAGGCUUGCGCCCAUUGUGCAAUAUUCCCCACUGCUGCCUCCCGUAGGAGUCUGGACCGUGUCUCAGUUCCAGUGUGGCUGGUCAUCCUCUCAGACCAGCUAGGGAUCGUCGCCUAGGUGAGCCAUUACCCCACCUACUAGCUAAUCCCAUCUGGGCACAUCUGAUGGCAUGAGGCCCGAAGGUCCCCCACUUUGGUCUUGCGACGUUAUGCGGUAUUAGCUACCGUUUCCAGUAGUUAUCCCCCUCCAUCAGGCAGUUUCCCAGACAUUACUCACCCGUCCGCCGCUCGUCACCCGAGAGCAAGCUCUCUGUGCUACCGCUCGACUUGCAUGUGUUAGGCCUGCCG
This 703-nucleotide ribosomal RNA is filed under the name Klebsiella ornithinolytica. RNAcentral's name for it is "Raoultella ornithinolytica partial 16S rRNA". The record is from RNAcentral. Lineage: Bacteria; Pseudomonadati; Pseudomonadota; Gammaproteobacteria; Enterobacterales; Enterobacteriaceae.